CAGCCGCCACGGUAAUACGUAGGUGGCAAGCGUUGUCCGGAAUUAUUGGGCGUAAAGGGCUCGCAGGCGGUUUCUUAAGUCUGAUGUGAAAGCCCCCGGCUCAACCGGGGAGGGUCAUUGGAAACUGGGAAACUUGAGUGCAGAAGAGGAGAGUGGAAUUCCACGUGCAGCGGUGGAAUGCGUAGAGAUGUGGAGGAACACCAGUGGCGAAGGCGACUCUCUGGUCUGUAACUGACGCUGAGGAGCGAAAGCGUGGGGAGCGAACAGGAUUAGAUACCCGCGUAGUCCCUGUCUCUUAUAC
This 301-nucleotide ribosomal RNA is filed under the name uncultured bacterium. RNAcentral's name for it is "partial 16S ribosomal RNA". It matches the Rfam family "Bacterial small subunit ribosomal RNA", at positions 509 to 807 of the family's 1533-position model. The record is from RNAcentral.